CAAAUAUUUCGCGAAAAUUGAAAUUAAAAUUCCGACGGAAUUCCGACGGAAAAUGUCCGUCGGACCCUAGGUUUUAUAACCACGAGCCACUUCUUCUUCCCCAUUUCUCUCUUCUUCCUCUGCGCGAUUCCUCUCUUUUUUUCCGGCGAUUUCCCCCUGAAAUCCGACGAUAUCUCCGGCGAUCUCCCCCUUUUCUUACACAAAUCAUGUAAGGACCCUAUCCC
This 224-nucleotide long non-coding RNA is filed under the name Brassica napus (rape). RNAcentral describes it as "long non-coding RNA (BNAP_LNC026897)". The record is from RNAcentral. Lineage: Eukaryota; Viridiplantae; Streptophyta; Magnoliopsida; Brassicales; Brassicaceae.